GGGGGUGGCCGAGUGGCUUAAGGCGCCUGACUGAUAAUCAGGUGUACCUCUAAGGGUACCAUGGGUUCGAAUCCCAUUCCCCCCGCCA
RNAcentral lists this transfer RNA (88 nucleotides) under Agrobacterium rosae. Its description in RNAcentral is "tRNA-Ile". It matches the Rfam family "tRNA". From Rfam's summary of the family: Transfer RNA (tRNA) molecules are approximately 80 nucleotides in length. Their secondary structure includes four short double-helical elements and three loops (D, anti-codon, and T loops). The record is from RNAcentral. Lineage: Bacteria; Pseudomonadati; Pseudomonadota; Alphaproteobacteria; Hyphomicrobiales; Rhizobiaceae.